This 468-nucleotide ribosomal RNA is filed under the name uncultured bacterium. RNAcentral's name for it is "partial 16S ribosomal RNA". It matches the Rfam family "Bacterial small subunit ribosomal RNA", at positions 28 to 507 of the family's 1533-position model. The record is from RNAcentral.
GACGAACGCUGGCGGCGUGCUUAACACAUGCAAGUCGAACGGAAAGGCCCUGCUUUUGUGGGGUGCUCGAGUGGCGAACGGGUGAGUAACACGUGAGUAACCUGCCCUUGACUUUGGGAUAACUUCAGGAAACUGGGGCUAAUCCCGGAUAGGAGCUCCUGCUGCAUGGUGGGGGUUGGAAAGUUUCGGCGGUUGGGGAUGGACUCGCGGCUUAUCAGCUUGUUGGUGGGGUAGUGGCUUACCAAGGCUUUGACGGGUAGCCGGCCUGAGAGGGUGACCGGCCACAUUGGGACUGAGAUACGGCCCAGACUCCUACGGGAGGCAGAAGUGGGGAAUAUUGCACAAUGGGCGGAAGCCUGAUGCAGCAACGCCGCGUGCGGGAUGACGGCCUUCGGGUUGUAAACCGCUUUCGCCUGUGACGAAGCGUGAGUGACGGUAAUGGGUAAAGAAGCACCGGCUAACUACGUG